CACCUUUCAGGCUCACACCUGGAGAGUUUUCAGUACCCUUCCAGUCUUCACUACGGGAGGGACAGUCAAUCAGAGGCAUAUCCAUUCCAUUCCUAGCUUGGCCAGUGGUUAGUGAGUGGAAGGCAAUCUGCUACAAGU
This is a small nucleolar RNA of Ornithorhynchus anatinus (platypus), 138 nucleotides long. Lineage: Eukaryota; Metazoa; Chordata; Mammalia; Monotremata; Ornithorhynchidae. The record is from RefSeq and is a predicted model, not a curated record.